CAGUAGCCGCGGUAAUACGAAGGGGGCUAGCGUUGUUCGGAAUUACUGGGCGUAAAGCGCACGUAGGCGGACAUUUAAGUCAGGGGUGAAAUCCCGGGGCUCAACCUCGGAACUGCCUUUGAUACUGGGUGUCUUGAGUGUGGAAGAGGUAAGUGGAAUUGCGAGUGUAGAGGUGAAAUUCGUAGAUAUUCGCAGGAACACCAGUGGCGAAGGCGGCUAACUGGUCCAUAACUGACGCUGAGGUGCGAAAGCGUGGGGAGCAAACAGGAUUAGAUACCCCCGUAGUCCCUGUCUCUUAUAC
This 301-nucleotide ribosomal RNA is filed under the name uncultured bacterium. Its description in RNAcentral is "partial 16S ribosomal RNA". It matches the Rfam family "Bacterial small subunit ribosomal RNA", at positions 509 to 807 of the family's 1533-position model. The record is from RNAcentral.